This 164-nucleotide small nuclear RNA is filed under the name Pogona vitticeps (central bearded dragon). Its description in RNAcentral is "U1 spliceosomal RNA (ENSPVIG00000000273.1)". It matches the Rfam family "U1 spliceosomal RNA". Rfam says of the family: U1 is a small nuclear RNA (snRNA) component of the spliceosome (involved in pre-mRNA splicing). Its 5' end forms complementary base pairs with the 5' splice junction, thus defining the 5' donor site of an intron. The record is from Rfam by way of RNAcentral. Lineage: Eukaryota; Metazoa; Chordata; Lepidosauria; Squamata; Agamidae.
AUUCAUGCCUUGCAGGAGAAAUACCAUUUCAUAAAAGUGGUUUUCCCAUGGGGGAGGCUCAUCCAUUGCACUUUGGGUGUGUUGCUGAUCCUUGUGAUUUCCCCAAAUGUGGGGAACUCAGUUGCAUAAUUUGUGUUAAUAGGGGAUUACCUUUUGGUUCCUGG